GACGUCGAUAUUCGACGUCAUAAACACGAUCAACUUUGGUGUUUAUGACGUCGAUAUUCGACGUCAUAAACACGAUCAACUUUUGUGUUUAUGACGUCGAUAUUCGACGUCAUAAACACGAUCAACUUAGGUGUUUAUGACGUCGAUAUUCGACGUCAUAAACACGAUCAACUUUGGUGUUUAUGACGUCGAUAUUCGACGUCAUAAACACGUUCAACUUUGGUGUUCAUGACGUCGAUAUUCGACGUC
Molecule: non-coding RNA, 249 nt
Organism: Paramuricea clavata
Lineage: Eukaryota; Metazoa; Cnidaria; Anthozoa; Malacalcyonacea; Plexauridae
Source: the annotation of a GenBank genome assembly